CCUACGGGAGGCAGCAGUGGGGAAUAUUGGACAAUGGGCGAAAGCCUGAUCCAGCAAUGCCGCGUGAGUGAUGAAGGCCUUAGGGUCGUAAAGCUCUUUUACCAGGGAUGAUAAUGACAGUACCUGGAGAAUAAGCUCCGGCUAACUCCGUGCCAGCAGCCGCGGUAAUACGGAGGGAGCUAGCGUUGUUCGGAAUUACUGGGCGUAAAGCGUGCGUAGGCGGUUAUUCAAGUCAGAGGUGAAAGCCCGGGGCUCAACCCCGGAACGGCCUUUGAAACUAGAUAACUAGAAUCUUGGAGAGGUCAGUGGAAUUCCGAGUGUAGAGGUGAAAUUCGUAGAUAUUCGGAAGAACACCAGUGGCGAAGGCGACUGACUGGACAAGUAUUGACGCUGAGGUACGAAAGUGUGGGGAGCAAACAGGAUUAGAUACCCUGGUAGUCCACGCCGUAAACGAUGAUAACUAGCUGUCCGGACACUUGGUGUUUGGGUGGCGCAGCUAACGCAUUAAGUUAUCCGCCUGGGGAGUACGGUCGCAAGNUUAAAACUCAAAGGAAUUGACGG
Molecule: ribosomal RNA, 561 nt
Filed under: uncultured bacterium
Lineage: Bacteria
Description: bacterial SSU rRNA
Rfam family: Bacterial small subunit ribosomal RNA
Source: RNAcentral